RNAcentral lists this long non-coding RNA (273 nucleotides) under Panax ginseng (ginseng). RNAcentral describes it as "long non-coding RNA (PGIN_LNC006663)". Lineage: Eukaryota; Viridiplantae; Streptophyta; Magnoliopsida; Apiales; Araliaceae. The record is from RNAcentral.
UAGUAUUUUCGUGUAAAGGAUAUGGAAUCCAGCUUGCUGAAUUAAAAAAUUUGAUGAAUCUAGCUUGCUAGAUUGAAAAGAAGCUUACUGAAUUAAAGGAUCUGGAAUCCAGUCUGCUGGAUUGGCAAUUUGGUUGCUAAAUUUAGAAUUCAGGUUGCUGGAUUAGUAUUUGACUUAUUAGAUGAUAAGGAAUAACAUGAAAUAAAAAAGCGAGUGUUAAAUCAUAAUGUAUACGAUAUAGUGAUUAAAGAAUUAUCAAAGGAUGAUAAUAAU